UUGUCGUAAUUUCUGCUUCUUGCUAUGUUUUGAUAUAGUUAUAAAGCCAGCAAAUACGAAUAUCUCAUAAAACUAGUAAAUGCACGGGGUAAUAAAUAAAUACGGACGUCAAAUCUGUUGUCUGUUCUCUCUCAUCAUUGGUAGCGUGAAUAACUAGUCAAUAGUAAAAUGAUACUUUUAUUAAACAGCCGAUAUAUUUCCAUACAAGUACAAUAUUCCAACAAUAAUAUAUAUAAUUUACAUACGGGCGGAGCUACUAAAAUAAUAUUCUUUCUCGUGUACGGGUCAACUGGAAUUAUCUUAAAUAUUUCAAUGACAAUAUAAAUAAAAUGCAAGGCAUACAGCUAUCUGCGCUGCUUCUUACCUCUAAAAUUAUAACCCUUACUUGUAAUAUAAAAUGCGAGGCAUACAGCUAAUGCGCUGCUUCUUACCUCUAGGAACCCCCGGGAUGAGCCUUGCUGCAAGCCAAAAGUAAACACAGCAAAGACUGACGAACGUGACGUUGCACUGGUAUUUAUUUCAAAUUACCGGA
RNAcentral lists this long non-coding RNA (532 nucleotides) under Mytilus galloprovincialis (Mediterranean mussel). The record is from RNAcentral. Lineage: Eukaryota; Metazoa; Mollusca; Bivalvia; Mytilida; Mytilidae.